CCUACGUGGAGCAGCAGUGGGGAAUAUUGGACAAUGGGCGAAAGCCUGAUCCAGCCAUGCCGCGUGUGUGAAGAAGGCCUUCGGGUUGUAAAGCACUUUCAGUGGGGAAGAAAGCCUUGGGGCUAAUACCCUCGAGGAAGGACAUCACCCACAGAAGAAGCACCGGCUAACUCCGUGCCAGCAGCCGCGGUAAUACGGAGGGUGCGAGCGUUAAUCGGAAUUACUGGGCGUAAAGCGCGCGUAGGCGGUCUGAUAAGCCGGUUGUGAAAGCCCCGGGCUCAACCUGGGAACGGCAUCCGGAACUGGCAGGCUAGAGUGCAGGAGAGGAAGGUAGAAUUCCCGGUGUAGCGGUGAAAUGCGUAGAGAUCGGGAGGAAUACCAGUGGCGAAGGCGGCCUUCUGGACUGACACUGACGCUGAGGUGCGAAAGCGUGGGUAGCAAACAGGAUUAGAUACCCCUGUAGUC
Molecule: ribosomal RNA, 465 nt
Filed under: Vreelandella stevensii
Lineage: Bacteria; Pseudomonadati; Pseudomonadota; Gammaproteobacteria; Oceanospirillales; Halomonadaceae
Description: partial 16S ribosomal RNA
Rfam family: Bacterial small subunit ribosomal RNA
Source: RNAcentral